This is a non-coding RNA of Paramuricea clavata, 515 nucleotides long. Lineage: Eukaryota; Metazoa; Cnidaria; Anthozoa; Malacalcyonacea; Plexauridae. The record is from the annotation of a GenBank genome assembly.
AUAUAGUUGAUCUUUUUUUAUGUAAUCUUUAUUGCUUUUAGAAAAAAUACUUAUAUAUGGUGAAGGACAUAAAUUCAUAGGUCUUAAUAAAACAAAAGCACCCUAAAACGAUUUGAAUAAAAUAACGUAAAUACACGUAUAAUCUUCUGUAGACAGAAGCAUGCAAUUGAUUCAAACAACAAUAAAAACUUGUUUAAAUCGACGAAAUAAUGUUUAUUUUUGGCAUCAAUCUAAAUGAGCAAAUUGGAACCAAAGGGCGAGAAGAUUCCUGCCCUGAGUAAAUUUACUCAUACGUCAUCGUUGUAUGAUUUGAUUCUGCGGAAGGUUUUUUCCCUAGUGUCGCUUUCCUAAUUGCUAAAUAAAUUACAUUGGGCCAGAAACGUAUUAGUCAGAGGGGCCACGACCACAUGCUGCCCCCCCCCAAUCAACCAUUUUGCCCCCCCUCCCCUCAGUGAAAAUUUCUUUUCUUUAAAAUAUGAUCAAAACAUGGGAAGAAAAAUAGAAUUUAAAAGGGA